CCCUUAGAUGUCCUGGGCCGCACGCGUGCUACACUGAUGCAUACAGCGAGUACUUUCCAGCUCCGCGAGGCAGCUGGUAAUCAGCAAUAUGCAUCGUGCUGGGGAUAGAUCUUUGGAGUUAUAGAUCUUGAACGAGGAAUUCCUAGUAAGCGCAAGUCAUUAGCUUGCGCUGAUUAAGUCCCUGCCCUUUGUACACACCGCCCGUCGCUCCUACCGAUUUCGAGUGAUUCGGUGAACCUUUUGGACAGCGUCUGUCCUCGUGUCAGAUGCUGAAAGUCAAGUAAACCAUAUCACUUAGAGGAAGGAGAAGUCGUAACA
This 318-nucleotide ribosomal RNA is filed under the name uncultured eukaryote. RNAcentral's name for it is "partial 18S ribosomal RNA". It matches the Rfam family "Eukaryotic small subunit ribosomal RNA", at positions 1470 to 1796 of the family's 1831-position model. The record is from RNAcentral.